RNAcentral lists this long non-coding RNA (224 nucleotides) under Gallus gallus (chicken). Lineage: Eukaryota; Metazoa; Chordata; Aves; Galliformes; Phasianidae. The record is from RNAcentral.
CGGCCGUCACUUCCUGGCGUGCAGCGUGUCCUGGAAUCUGGUGCUGGUGUAGCGCAGGUGGAAACCCUUCUUGUUGAUGGUGUCGUCCGAGUGGAAGUGCAGCAGCACCGCAUCUCCGGCUGAGUACAGCGGCUCGGGGGGCCCGGAGCCGCAGUAGCGGCCGAUGGGCGGCGCGGUGCCGUCGGCGCCAUCGAAGAGCUCCAGGAAAUCGUAGCCGCAGUCCG